Bufo bufo (common toad) is the source of this 486-nucleotide long non-coding RNA. RefSeq lists it as uncharacterized. The transcript has 2 exons. The record is from RefSeq and is a predicted model, not a curated record. Lineage: Eukaryota; Metazoa; Chordata; Amphibia; Anura; Bufonidae.
GCGUCCAGUGAGAGGGAAGCAGUAACAGAGAGGGAAGGUGGCACAAUAUAUAAGCAACAGGUACAUGGCGGAGCAGGAGAAGAGCAAACGCUAGGGGUGUAAGAAGGCGUUAUGAUAUAUAACCAUUACCGCGCAGGAGUGCGAGCAGUCUUCCUAGGAUAGCAGAGCCGGCUUUUAAAUAGCAAUACGGACCGGCUGCGGACUCAGAGUUAUGCACUGGGCCCCCGUAUCCAGUAGGGGAGGCCGCGAUGUACUAUCACAUUACAUCCCAAGAACAGGACCCUCUCUAGCUCUUAGGUAGGCUGCACACGGGUGCAGAAAUUCCACAAAAAUUUCCAUGCGAAUUUCUGUGCGUUUCUGCACUAAAUCCACAUGUCUUACGUGCGGAUUUGAUGGGGUUUUGCACUGAAACGGGUUAAAUCCGCACAAACAAUUCACAUGAUGCUGUUUUCAAAACCCGCACGGCAGGUCAAUUUCGGCCUGGAG